GAUCACUCCCACCCCAUGAUGAACCAGGGCCCACCAUGUGCCAGAUUUAAUAAAAAUGCAUGUAACCAGAGACUUCCGGGAGAACAUGGCAGACAAAUAACAGCAGCCAUGGAGGCUCUCUGAGAUUACCAGCUUAGAAUCCAGGAGUGGUGCCUUGUGAGGAGUCCUACGUGAGGGGAGAUGUACCCUGCCGACCCAGGAAUGAACUAAGCUGAGAGAAACCAACUGGAAAUGCAAUCCUGAUGCUAUAACAGGAACAGAUAAAAUCUCAGCGCAGAAGCUGGAGCCCGCGCCACUGGAAGCCACGAUUUGAAUUUCCUGCCACCACUGCUGCAUCCCAUUCAGCACAGCAGGGAGAGA
RNAcentral lists this long non-coding RNA (360 nucleotides) under Cavia porcellus (domestic guinea pig). RNAcentral's name for it is "lncRNA (ENSCPOG00000037241.1)". The record is from RNAcentral. Lineage: Eukaryota; Metazoa; Chordata; Mammalia; Rodentia; Caviidae.